AACCGCCGUAUACCGGUCGGUACGUACGGUGGUGUGAGAGGACAGAAAGCCGGUAUGACCGGCUUUCUUCCUACUCGAU
RNAcentral lists this unclassified non-coding RNA (79 nucleotides) under Chitinophaga sancti. Lineage: Bacteria; Pseudomonadati; Bacteroidota; Chitinophagia; Chitinophagales; Chitinophagaceae. The record is from RNAcentral.